GCUUUAUCUUAGUAACAACGAGGAUAGACAAAAGCCAAUUGCCAGAUCAAGCAGUUUACUACUUGAAAUUUGAUUAUUUUCUUAUUGAUCCAGAAACAAGUGUACUCAUUGCCUUCACCUUCAUCUCGUACAAUUUGAUUGCCUGACUGACUAGUAUACUUGCACGGAUGCCUUUUAUUUUGUCCUAAAUUUUUUAACUCUAUGAACUUAUUUACACCUUUUGCCAUCAAGCCUUUUCCUGUAAUGUUAAUUGUAUUGUGCCUUGAGGACAUAUUUUUGUCAAGCUAUAUGAUAUUCUUCCUGCUGGUCAUCUGUAAGGUAGUACAGAACAUUGAAAAUCAUAGGUGAUUAAUCUCACAGACAAAUCUCAGUUAUGUUUUUGUCUUGUACUGAUUUGUUUGCCUAUCUAACUCUGGUGCACAAUUUGUUAAUUUUUGUUGAUGGAAUGUUGGUACAUGGUGGAAUGGUUAGUUGGUCUGUAGUCCAACUAAAUGAAAUCACCCCUUCUUUCAGAGCUGAAGAAAGCUGCCUUUCAUAUGAUGCAGGUUUUGAAAGAAGAUUUAGGAGUAUAUCUCUGCAAUUUUCUAUCUUUGACCAUGUAUUUGAGAAGGUUAGUAGCAGUCACUUUGUAGCAAAAAGGAAUGAAAACAGUGGGAUGGAUGGGAUUCUGUAGGGGAAUUGGAUUGCUAAGAGACAAGAACAACAAGAGACUUGAACCGAUUAGUAGCGAAGUAAAUUUGUUCGCUCUACUUGGGAUGGCUUCUGAUCUUGUAUGAUCAAAUUCUGAUGUACUUGCAAUGUGAUUUCUGUCAUCUAUCUAGAUUUACAAUUACCAGUUGCCUAUGGUUAAAAUAAAACAUACAAAUUGGAUCAAAACUCCUUGGUGUCUAAACUGUUAACCUUUUGCAGUUGGUUAAAAGUUAAUCCAAGUUUGAAUUAAAGUAAAUUAAUGUGAUUGAUUUUAAUGGUCAGGUUUCUGGAUUGCCAUUUCAAUUUGCCCCCUUGAGAUAUGCUAGAUCAACGAGUGCUGCACUCUCUCUGUGGUUGAUGAGACGCCAAAGACGCGUAUCUGUGUUUGCUGCAUAAGGGAACAAUGCCAUCACACCCCAGCAUAAAAUUCAACGUAAGAUGAUUUUACUUCCUAUAGGGGAUUGUGUUUGUCGCUAAACCAUAUUGGUGUUUGGUACCUUCAGAUUUAAUCUUAUAAGUAGGAUUAGUGUAACAGAAUCUCUGCAGGAGCAAGUGUAUUAUAAAUCCUUGUCACGUGUUCAACGAGAACUUGUAAAUUUUAAGAUACUUUUUAUGUGUCAAAACUCUUGAAUCGUUUGUAUAAACUAGAACUUUAUAUUUAAGGAGUACAUAAAAUGGUCUAAUAAAAAAAUUAUAUCACUGAAGGCAAUUAGAGUAAAUAUUUAGUGAAAAUUAUGGAUGAUGAUAUCUAAUAUAUAUAUAUAUAUAUAAUUGAGAUUUUAGGAGGACGGAGGAAAAGGAGAAUUUGAAUUCAAAAUCUCUAAAUUUUGAACUCUCAAUUUUUAGACACUGGAUCAAAGACAUUGGACAUGUAAUAUAGUCAAUCUGUUAUUUCUAAUGAAGGGCUUCAACUUGUUUCAAUGCUAAACGAUGGUUUAUCUUCAAAUAUUUUUCCUCAAUAUGCACAAAAGAAAUAUUUUGUUGUUCCUCUAACUAGGCCCAAAUUAGUCCACCCAAGUUAUCAGGUUGACCCAUUUCUGAACUAGGGUGAAUUGGAUCAAACUAAAAUGCCCAACUAUUUUAGUAACUAUCCAGUAAAGCACAAUUUUCCAUCAAGAAAAAUGUAGUUUUGGUAUCAAAACUUUGACAUAUGAGCGGUUUUAGUCCCAAAAUUUGGAUGAUAACAAAUCCGGUGCCCAAACUUUCAAAUUUUGAACACAUUUAGUACCCUUGAUGAUUUUUUCCCAAAUUGCUACCGGAAAAAGUCAUGUGACAGUCACAUGUCCGCCCACUAUUGUAUAAAAAAUGUCAAAUGCCAUUCUAAUACUAAGUAUUAAGUUUAAGGACUCACAUGAGUCAAUUGAUUGCCACCAAGAACCAAAGCAACUAGAAGAACACAAUUAUCAAGAUCAGUCUUCAUUGUCUUGAUUCUAGCCUUUUGAAAGUAGAAUCUAUUGCAUGCAUGCUUCUUGACGAACCGGGAAUUAGAAAUUGAUGUCUUCGACAUAUGUUGGAUCACACCAUGCCCAACUUGAAUGUUUGUUGAAGUUUGGUUCUUAGGUUUUCUUUUGGAGAGAGAGAGUUGGAACACAGAUAGAAAUGAGUUUGGUAGAGUUUUACAUCGUUUCCUUCUUCUUUUAUUUUUUAAAUGACUCAUGUGAUGUUAUUUAGUCCAUAGGUUUUUUUAUUACAUUAUUAGUGCUUAAACUUACUAUUUAGUAUUAGAAUGGCAUUUGACAUUUUUGUGAUAUUUUGUAUACAAUAGUGGUCGGACAUGUGAUUGUUACAAGGGAUUCAACUUGUUUCAAUGCUAAACGGUGGUUUAUCUUCAAAUAUUUUUCCUCAAUAUGCACAAAAGAAAUAUUUUGCUGUUUCUCUAAAAUUUAAAAAAUUGGAAGGGACUAACGGGCUGGGCCCAAAUUAGUCUACCCAAGUUAUCAGGUUGACCCAUCUCUUAACUAGGGUGAAUUGGAUCAAAUUAAAAGGCCCACCUAUUUUAGUAACCGUCCAGUCAGGCACAAUUUUCCAUCCAAUGUUCUUUUUCCUUUUCUGUUCCCUUUUUUGCGAAGAGAGAGAAAUGGUCGGUUCUUUUUCUGAUGGAAAUGGCACUUUUUGAACAUUGAGAACUAGAAUUAAAGUUUGAACUAUUUGGGCAAAAAAUUGAACAGUCCAAAACACCUUUAGCUGAAAAGAAUCGAUGAAGGCCUUUUUAGGAGAUUCUUUGAGCUGAACUAGGGAUGGACAUUCUUUUGGAUGCUGGUGUUAUAUUGAUUUCCAGAAGGAUGAUCACUUUUUUGGAUAAAGAUCCAAAAGAAAGAAUCACGCUUUCACUUUAUACCAUUGUUCUCCUCUAAAUCUUAUUCCCCUUUUAUUAGAUUCUUGGUACCAUUCCAUUUUUUUCGAGCAGCGAGAGAUGUGAUUUAAGAAACGAGGAGAAGAAGAGAAUUUAAACCCAUAAUCUCUAUGUCUUGUCGUGUCAAUCUUUAACAAACCCUUUCACUAUCUUGAACUUUUUUCCUCUAUUUUUAUAUAGAAAUUUGGUAAUUCAGAUGACAUUCAGAUGGAGUUAUUUUUUUUCUCUUUUUAUAUUUUGUGGAAAGUUCUCGUUGGAAAAACCUAACUGAAUUUCUUUUUAAUGCAAUGACAACAGUUAAAUUUUAGGAAAAAUUUCCAAUAGGAGUGGUGCAAGUUUACUAAUUCAUAAAAAGAUAGGAAAAUUUUUGUUUAGUUUCUAAACACAACCAUUUUUACGUUCACCGCAGAAGUAUUUAUCAUCCCCCUUGCAACAAAAUGUGAAGAUUGUUUAUCAAAGCCCCUAGAAAGGACACAUAUUUGUACAAGUCGCAAAGCCAAAAAAAAAAAAUAGAAAAUACUAUACGGGAAGUAAGUUUGUAAAAUAUUUUUGAGUAUUGAAUAUUUCCUUCUUUUCCAAAAUAUCAAAUGUCAAUCUAUAUAUGGAUUGGAAGUAUUCCUCAAACUGAGCUCUCAAGUCUAAAUCAUUGGUUGAUAAAGACAUUAGUUUGGUAAUUUAUUUAUAAGACUCUGGUAAACUUUUCAAAUACUCCCUUUUAGAUUCUUACUUGAACCACAAAAAAUCUCAUCAAUCCUAGAAGAACUUUUGGUAGUAAUUCUAAAAGUAGAAAAAAAAAAAAUUCUUCAACAAUUCACUGUACAGAAAAAGAACAUGAGAUUACCCCUAGCACUCGUCUUGUUACUAAAAACAAUUGCUAGCAUGCCAAACAAUUGACUAGUAUCCAUUUCCAUUAUGGAAAAUGCUACUCUAUGUGACAGACGAGUUAAUACGAUAAAAAUAAAGAUAAAGAUGAUCAUCUCAUUGAUUUCAAAGAUUUUUAUGUUUUUGCUUAUCACUUCAACACGUAGCGAGAAUUUUCAACUCGCUUUUUGUAGGUGAACUCGUCCGUUACACUGAUUACUUUAAUGCCACCAACCAAGAAGACGCAUAGAGUCAUUGGAAGUGUCGGCUAUGGUGUAAAAUUGAACAUCGCAGUAUGAAAGCCUUCAAUUCAAAGAUCCAUUUGGUACAGCAUGACAAGAACGGCACAUAAAAGCUUAAUAAAACUCUGUCCCCUUUUUUGGUACAGUGAUUUGAUGUGCCAAUUUAAGAAGCCCUUGUCUGUUUUAGCCUCUACCUCCCAUCUUCCAAGAGAAAAAUAAAUCAAUAAAUAAACCGUGAAAAGAUAAUCCUAGGUUGUUUUGCAACAUUCCAUGAAGAAAAAAAAAUGGUUGACUCGAUUUUCCCAUUGGCCUUUAUAGCCUGUGAGGUAUCCAAAUGUUUGAUGAAAGUGGAUAAUAUGAAUAAUAUCACUUUGUACCAUAUAAAAUUUAUAACUAAAAAGGCUUAGAAUUAAUUUUUUUUUAUUAGAUCACUUAUUUUUCAGCACUUUUACAUUAUGUGAUAGUUGGAUUUUUACUUUUAAAGCAAAUUAUGCAAUUGAUCGUAGCAUGUUAAUCCCAAGCAAUGAGUAGAAUAAUAGUGUUGCUGCACUUUAUUUGUUGUUUUUUUAACUACUAUUCUACUACCAAAGGGUCGAAUAUAGAGGUUUAGCUUAAAUUGCAACAAGUGGAAAUUGAGAAUACAUUAUUGUAAUUUGUAUCACAAGCUUAAUAUCCUCCCUCUUUUUUUUUUUUUUUUUGGUAAAAAGUUACAACUAAUUAACAAUCAUGUGGCAAAUAAUAUGGUGCACUAAUUAAUCCUAUAUAGCCUUAAUUACGGGUUGCUUUCAAAAAUAUUAAAAAAAACCCUAAUUGUGGGUUCAUCACGUUCUUUCUCUUUGGUGUUUACUGCAGCAAAACAUUUUCAGGUACAAAUUACCUCUAUCAACUAGAAACCCUAAUAAUCAAGUGAAACUUCAUCUUCUAGGAUUGGCUUUCUUUAAUAUAGCUUCAUUACAGAUAUGAACAAGUGUUUAAAGCCUUAAAAAUUGUUCUUCAAUUGGUGGGCCUAAAGGGCAUUUUUGUUUGUUUUAUCCUCCAAAUAUUUUUCACUUUCCAGCUCCAGAUUCUUCUGACUUUGUAACUAUACUUCAUGUCUGAUUAGAGAUACUUAACUCCAUAAGAAAAUCUCAUCUGGGGUGGUCAUUAUAUGCAAACACAAAAAAUUAGCAUAGACAACACAAACCUUUAUAUAUAUUAGUUCCUUCUUUGUAUUCAAUACAGCUAAGGCACCACACUCUGAGAAGACCACAAAUGAAAGGAGCCAAAGGAUUGCAUGUGCUGCAUGUGAGCAUGAAAGCCACCAAACAAAACAAAGAGCAAAGAAGCUAACACAUGUCUGUCCGACAUUAGGAUGGAGAAGGAAAAUGAAAGGGAUUAUAACGUCCGGCCCGUUGGGUUACUAAUAACUUUUUGUUAACCAUUUUGAAUUCGUGGUUUCAGCUCAAAAAGUUAUUGGGCCAUCCCGUGGGCAUGGGGUGUUACAUCUGUAGAAAAUAGGAGCUGAAAGUACUUUAGUACUCUUUUUAUAGUUGUCUGAAUGACCAGCAGUAAUCCUCUUAAAGGAGAUAGUCAUCUUAAUAUUGCUACAUUUUGAAGAUACUUUAUAUGUUUCUCAGAAGUAGGUGGGAUUAUCAAUCUUUAUAGGGAGAUCUACAUGAUACCUCUUGAAACGAUAUUGAAGUUUGGUAAUUAACGUCUCAAUUGUUCUCAUUUCUUUGUAUAGUAUACACAUGAUUUACUGUCUUAUCAGAAAAUAAAAAGUAAGAAAAUGAAAAAAGUCCAAGCUUUAUAAACUACCUAUAGAAGUCACUUAGGAUGUUCUUUCCAUGUGGUUCUCAAAGCUAUCCACUCGUGGAGGAGAUAUGGACAAGUAAAUGAGAAGGAAAUUUGAACAAUGACUGUUAAGACUUUAGGUGACUCAGAUUUCUGUUUCUUCUGUUUCCAUUGCAUGUGAACCUGUCCAGUGAAGUUGUUGGCUCCCCCAAUUCUUCUCCUGGCUUAAUUACUUCAACAUACCACAAUUAGAAAAGAUGUGAUUGAGUUGCUUGGCCUUGAAUUCCUCUAGGUGCAAUUACCUAAGAGCUGGUAUACUUCAGGUUGCAUCACCUGGGAAUUUCGGCUGUUUCCAGAGUGAGAAAGAUGGCUUUAUCUUAGUAACAACGAGGAUAGACAAAAGCCAAUUGCCAGAUCAAGCAGUUUACUACUUGAAAUUUGAUUAUUUUCUUAUUGAUCCAGAAACAAGUGUACUCAUUGCCUUCACCUUCAUCUCGUACAAUUUGAUUGCCUGACUGACUAGUAUACUUGCACGGAUGCCUUUUAUUUUGUCCUAAAUUUUUUAACUCUAUGAACUUAUUUACACCUUUUGCCAUCAAGCCUUUUCCUGUAAUGUUAAUUGUAUUGUGCCUUGAGGACAUAUUUUUGUCAAGCUAUAUGAUAUUCUUCCUGCUGGUCAUCUGUAAGGUAGUACAGAACAUUGAAAAUCAUAGGUGAUUAAUCUCACAGACAAAUCUCAGUUAUGUUUUUGUCUUGUACUGAUUUGUUUGCCUAUCUAACUCUGGUGCACAAUUU
RNAcentral lists this long non-coding RNA (6714 nucleotides) under Coffea arabica (coffee). Its description in RNAcentral is "long non-coding RNA (CARA_LNC007082)". The record is from RNAcentral. Lineage: Eukaryota; Viridiplantae; Streptophyta; Magnoliopsida; Gentianales; Rubiaceae.